UAUUCUCAGCCCUAUGUCUUACUCCA
This 26-nucleotide non-coding RNA is filed under the name Homo sapiens (human). Lineage: Eukaryota; Metazoa; Chordata; Mammalia; Primates; Hominidae. The record is from RNAcentral.